AGCGGCGAACUGGUGAGUACAAGGUGACUAACGUGCCCCUGAGCGGGGGAUAACCCACCGAAAGGCGGGCUAAUACCGCAUGAUCUCCGGGUUGCCUCGGCAGCUUGGAGCAAAGCAGCAAUGUGCUUGGGGAUCGGGUCACCUCCCAUUAGCUAGUUGGUGGGGUAAGAGCCCACCAAGGCUUCGAUGGGUAGCUGGUCUGAGAGGAUGGUCAGCCACACUGGGACUGAGAUACGGCCCAGACUCCUACGGGGGGCAGCAGUCUAGAGGCUUCGUCAAUGGGGGAAACCCUGAACGAGCGACGCCGCGUGCGGGAUGAAGGGCUUCGGCUUGUAAACCGCUUUUGUUUGGGAAGAAUGCCCGGAUCGUGAAUUCGGGAGGGACGGUACCAGACGAAUAAGCCCCGGCUAACUCCGUGCCAGCAGCCGCGGUAAGACGGAGGGGGCAAGCGUUGUUCGGAAUUAUUGGGCGUAAAGGGCGCGUAGGCGGAUUGGCAAGUCUGGCGUGAAAUCUCCACCACUUAACGGGGAGAGGUCGCUGGAAACUACCGAUCUGGAGUUCGGCAGAGGACCAUGGAAUUCCAGGUGUAGCGGUGGAAUGCGUAGAUAUCUGGAAGAACACCGGUGGCGAAGGCGGUGGUCUGGGCCGAAACUGACGCUGAGGCGCGAAAGCCAGGGGAGCAAACGGGAUUAGAUACCCC
Molecule: ribosomal RNA, 700 nt
Filed under: uncultured bacterium
Lineage: Bacteria
Description: bacterial SSU rRNA
Rfam family: Bacterial small subunit ribosomal RNA
Source: RNAcentral